This 657-nucleotide ribosomal RNA is filed under the name uncultured marine eukaryote. RNAcentral's name for it is "SSU rRNA". It matches the Rfam family "Eukaryotic small subunit ribosomal RNA", at positions 614 to 1272 of the family's 1831-position model. The record is from RNAcentral.
UGCGGUUAAAAAGCUCGUAGUUGGAUCUUGGGGUGUGAGCGCGCGGUCGCUCGACAGAGCGCACUGUUCGGCACACUCUUCCAUUUGGUUGCGCGUGUUUGUGCUCUUAACUGAGUGCAACACUCGACCAGAAAUUUUACCUUGAAAAAAUUAGAGUGUUCAAAGCAGACCUGAUUGUGUCUGAAUAUUCGUGCAUGGAAUAAUAAAAUAUGAAUUCGGUUCUAUUUUAUUGGUUUUCGGAACCCGAGUUAAUGAUUAAGAGGGACAGACGGGGGCAUCCGUACUCUGCCGUUAGAGGUGAAAUUCUUGGAUCGGCGGAAGACGCGCAACUGCGAAAGCAUUUGCCAAGAAUGUUUUCUUUAAUCAAGAACGAUAGUCGGAGGUUCGAAGACGAUCAGAUACCGUCCUAGUUUCGACUGUAAACUAUGCCAGCUAACGAUCAGACAGCGUUCUCUACGACUUGUCUGGCAGUUUCCGGGAAACCAAAGCUUUUGGGUUCCGGGGGAAGUAUGGUUGCAAAGCUGAAACUUAAAGGAAUUGACGGAAGGGCACCACCAGGAGUGGAGCCUGCGGCUUAAUUUGACUCAACACGGGGAAACUCACCCGGCCCGGACACAGUGAGGAUUGACAGAUUGAGAGUUCUUUCUUGAUUCUGUG